Molecule: unclassified non-coding RNA, 351 nt
Filed under: soil metagenome
Description: partial contains 5.8S ribosomal RNA, internal transcribed spacer 2, and large subunit ribosomal RNA
Rfam family: 5.8S ribosomal RNA (bases 5-119)
Source: RNAcentral
GAUGAGAACGUAGCGAAAUGCGAUAAGUAAUGUGAAUUGCAGAAUUCAGUGAAUCAUCGAAUCUUUGAACGCACAUUGCGCCCGCCAGUAUUCUGGCGGGCAUGCCUGUUCGAGCGUCAUUACAACCCUCAGGCCCCCGGGCCUGGCGUUGGGGAUCGGCGGAAGCCCCCUGUGGGCACACGCCGUCCCUCAAAUACAGUGGCGGUCCCGCCGCAGCUUCCAUUGCGUAGUAGCUAACACCUCGCAACUGGAGAGCGGCGCGGCCAUGCCGUAAAACACCCAACUUCUGAAUGUUGACCUCGAAUCAGGUAGGAAUACCCGCUGAACUUAAGCAUAUCAAUAAGCGGAGGA